RNAcentral lists this ribosomal RNA (494 nucleotides) under uncultured bacterium. RNAcentral describes it as "bacterial SSU rRNA". It matches the Rfam family "Bacterial small subunit ribosomal RNA", at positions 30 to 521 of the family's 1533-position model. The record is from RNAcentral.
AUUGAACGCUGGCGGAAUGCUUUACACAUGCAAGUCGAACGGUAGAGGGGGCAACCCCUUGAGAGUGGCGAACGGGUGAGUAAUAUAUCGGAACGUGCCCAGUCGUGGGGAUAACGUAGCGAAAGUUACGCUAAUACCGCAUACGAUCUAAGGAUGAAAGCGGGGGAUCGCAAGACCUCGCGCGAUUGGAGCGGCCGAUAUCAGAUUAGGUAGUUGGUGAGGUAAAGGCUCACCAAGCCAACGAUCUGUAGCUGGUCUGAGAGGACGACCAGCCACACUGGAACUGAGACACGGUCCAGACUCCUACGGGAGGCAGCAGUGGGGGAAUUUUGGACAAUGGACGCAAGUCUGAUCCAGCCAUUCCGCGUGCAGGAUGAAGGCCCUCGGGUUGUAAACUGCUUUUGUACGGAACGAGAAGGUUUGUCUUAAUACGAUGAGCUCAUGACGGUACCGUAAGAAUAAGCACCGGCUAACUACGUGCCAGCAGCCGCGGU